GUGCUCACUUCAGCGCCACAUAUACAAAAAUUAGAAUGGUACAGAGAAGAUUAGCAUGGCCCCUGUGCAAGGAUGACAGGCAAAUUCGUGACAAAUUGAAUUAAAGA
Small nuclear RNA from Fukomys damarensis (Damara mole-rat), 107 nucleotides. The record is from Ensembl. Lineage: Eukaryota; Metazoa; Chordata; Mammalia; Rodentia; Bathyergidae.